RNAcentral lists this ribosomal RNA (556 nucleotides) under uncultured bacterium. RNAcentral describes it as "bacterial SSU rRNA". It matches the Rfam family "Bacterial small subunit ribosomal RNA", at positions 358 to 916 of the family's 1533-position model. The record is from RNAcentral.
GGAAUAUUGCGCAAUGGACGAAAGUCUGACGCAGCCAUGCCGCGUGAAGGACGAAGGCCCUAUGGGUUGUAAACUUCUUUUGUACGGGAAAAAACGCUUCUACGUGUAGGAGCCUGAUGGUACCGUAAGAAUAAGCACCGGCUAACUCCGUGCCAGCAGCCGCGGUAAUACGGAGGGUGCAAGCGUUAUCCGGAUUUAUUGGGUUUAAAGGGUCCGCAGGCGGGCCGAUAAGUCAGUGGUGAAAGCCCAUAGCUCAACUAUGGAACUGCCAUUGAUACUGUCGGUCUUGAGUAUAAGUGAGGUUGGCGGAAUGUGUGGUGUAGCGGUGAAAUGCUUAGAUAUCACACAGAACACCGAUUGCGAAGGCAGCUGGCCAACUUAUAACUGACGCUGAGGGACGAAAGUGUGGGGAUCAAACAGGAUUAGAUACCCUGGUAGUCCACACCGUAAACGAUGAUCACUAGAUUUUGGCCGCAAGGUCAGAGUCCAAGCGAAAGUGUUUAGUGAUCCACCUGGGGAGUACGUCCGCAAGGAUGAAACUCAAAGGAAUUGACGG